UGGGGAUUCGUCUAAUGGUAGGACAACAGACUCUGAAUCUGUAAGUCGAGGUUCGAAUCCUCGAUCCCCAGCCA
RNAcentral lists this transfer RNA (74 nucleotides) under SAR202 cluster bacterium. RNAcentral's name for it is "tRNA-Gln". It matches the Rfam family "tRNA". Rfam says of the family: Transfer RNA (tRNA) molecules are approximately 80 nucleotides in length. Lineage: Bacteria; Bacillati; Chloroflexota; Dehalococcoidia. The record is from RNAcentral.